GACGUAGGGCGCGAGCGUUGUCCGGAUUUAUUGGGCGUAAAGAGCUCGUAGGCGGCUCAUUGCGUCAACCGUGAAAACCAGCAGCUCAACUGUUGGCUUGCGGUUGAUACGGGUGGGCUGGAGUUCGGUAGGGGAGACUGGAAUUCCUGGUGUAGCGGUGAAAUGCGCAGAUAUCAGGAAGAACACCAAUGGCGAAAGCAGCUCUCUGGGACGGUACUGACGCUGAGACGCGAAAGCGUGGGGAGCGAACAGG
This 253-nucleotide ribosomal RNA is filed under the name uncultured bacterium. RNAcentral describes it as "partial 16S ribosomal RNA". It matches the Rfam family "Bacterial small subunit ribosomal RNA", at positions 524 to 776 of the family's 1533-position model. The record is from RNAcentral.